Molecule: transfer RNA, 75 nt
Filed under: Gigantopelta aegis
Lineage: Eukaryota; Metazoa; Mollusca; Gastropoda; Neomphalida; Peltospiridae
Description: tRNA-Ile
Rfam family: tRNA
About the family: Transfer RNA (tRNA) molecules are approximately 80 nucleotides in length.
Source: RNAcentral
GGCCUGUUAGCCCAGUUGGUUAGAGCGUCGUGCUAAUAACGCGAAUGUCGUGGGUUCGAUCCCCACAUGGGGCCA